RNAcentral lists this non-coding RNA (249 nucleotides) under Clostridium sp. RNAcentral describes it as "T-box sequence". It matches the Rfam family "T-box leader". Rfam says of the family: Uncharged tRNA acts as the effector for transcription antitermination of genes in the T-box leader family. Lineage: Bacteria; Bacillati; Bacillota; Clostridia; Eubacteriales; Clostridiaceae. The record is from RNAcentral.
CAAGAGACAUGGAAGAGGAGUAAUAAGGAACCUGGCCUUUUCAGAGAGCCGCCGGAUGGUGCGAGGCGGUAAGGAGAAGUCCCCAACUCGCCUUGGAGUCCUCCGGGGGAAGCCUGUUCAUGCAGGAGCAGGAAAGUAGUCCGGAGCGGGAAUUCCCGUUACAGAACAAUAAGUGCGUACCGGUUUGCAGUCAAAGCAGAUGGUACGAAUUAGAGUGGUACCACGGAAACAAGCCCUUUCGUCUCUAAC